Molecule: small nuclear RNA, 107 nt
Organism: Octodon degus (degu)
Lineage: Eukaryota; Metazoa; Chordata; Mammalia; Rodentia; Octodontidae
Source: Ensembl
GCGCUCCCUUCGGCAGCCCGUAUACUAAAAUUGGAACAAUACAGAGAAGAUUAGUAUGACUGCUGCCCAAGGAUGACAUGCAGAUUCAUGAAGUGUUCCAUAUAUUU